Long non-coding RNA from Lineus longissimus, 2670 nucleotides. RefSeq lists it as uncharacterized. The transcript has 4 exons. NCBI's taxonomy places the organism in Eukaryota, Metazoa, Nemertea, Pilidiophora, Heteronemertea, Lineidae. The record is from RefSeq and is a predicted model, not a curated record.
AGGAGGAUACCGCGGUGACGUCACGGCUUUUCCAAGAUGGCGCUGCAUAUUGUAAACAAACUCGAUCCACGGCCAAGGGAAAAUCAAGUAAUCAAAAAAUUUUGAUGAGAUUCUGUCAGAGUUCUGUGAUUCUGAUAGUGACAUGUCAGUGCCUGAUCAGCAUGACUCUGUGUAAACCCCAAACAAGUCAAAUACUUCCAGUUCCAGCGACAGUACCCGGUCUCUAAACUUGAGGACAAGAUCAAAUGACAAAUCUCCUACUGCUUCUGAUUCGUGCGAUACAGACACGUUUUCAGCAUUGUCUGAUCUAUUGGAAUCACAUACAAAUUCCAGGACAAGAUCAGAUACAUCAUCAUAGAAAGGCUUGAGAACAGCAUCUAUACCAUAUGUACUUACAUCAUUUGAGCUCGCUACAAUUAACAGAUUGAUACUUGAGAGCCGUGAUCGAAAUCUUGGAUGAAUGUUACCAAGAGUGAAAUAGAACAUGGCCAUUUUGUGGGUUUUUGAACCAAUUGGAUUGCAAAGUUCAACGUCGUCAUAGUAAAGAAUAAUCUGCAACGAAUUCAAGUUCGAACGAAAGAGGGGGUGUCCUUGAAAAACUGCACCGUCACAGAAAUCACCCAGUAGUCCAUCAUUUCGCCUGUGAUCUUCAUGGAUUUGUUCUACAUAUUGUCUCCUCAGCAACAAAGCUCGCAGCAUAUCCUUUAGAGGUACAUAGUACACAACAUUAGGGACGUUUUCAAUACGACGGUCUUCACCAGUUCCUACGACUUCAAGUGUAGGAGGCAAGAUGUGCUCUCUGGGAAGCUGAAAUGAAAAUAUUGAAAUGUUAUGACAGUGUCCUCCUUGACACCCCCCCCCCCCCCCCAAUAAUAUCCUUGGUCCGGUCAGCAGAUAAUGGCAGUGCUAUGAUUGGUAUUUAUUGCUCCUAGUUGGCGUAUAUCAUGAAGUGUAGUGGAGAGCGUGUGCAGUUGAUUAGGCGCCACAUAGGCUAGCUGCACUCUUGCUUCAGAGUGGCAUUUUUUUACAGAAGUGUAGCAUCCCUACCACAAUCCUCCUCCUUUCACAGCUGGGCUUGGGAGUCUUGCGAUAGCGGUCUAUUGCUGCACCCUAUGUAAGAGGCAGGGGCAUAUUGUGGCAACAUACAUUAUGGUACUUACAACCAGGGAAAAAAACUGUUGGUAAAAUCUUCUCUGUUGAUAUUGACCCUGAAGCCCAUCGAAAUGUCCCCUCAUUAUUGGCUGAAUUGCAUUGACUAUCUUUGCUCUUAGUUUCUGACGAGUUUCUUCAUUGAUAUCUGGCUCAUCUUCCAUAAUUUGUCCGAUGUUCACUUCCAGUUUGUCUGCCAUUGAAUUGUGCAUCAAGAUUGAGUGUUGUACAACUUGAUCAGUUGCAAUCUGAAAAUAAAGCAUGUAGUCGUUUGUAAUGUACUGUCAUUAGUCACGUUGACAGGUGUCGAAACCAAUCAAUAGGGCCCACAAUUUAGGCCGGAUUACAAAGAAAACAUUUCGUAUGUUUAGGCUUAGAUUAAUGCAUGGUUGUUUAGGCCCUCCCCAUCUCUGCAGCUAAAGGGGGGAUUAUUAUUUACGAAAGUAUCAGUUUAGAUCUUCUUCAGGCCUUUCAAUUACCGGUACAUAAUUUGGGAUCCACCCUGUAUUUCUGAAUUUGGGCUUUUUCACCCGGUCACGUCGUGUCUCAGGCAAAAUUUGCCAAGUUUUUUACAUCCAGUUGCAAUUUCAUGACUACAGCAGUAAAAUUCAGGCAUUUAGAGUCAGAUUUAGACGUUUUUAGGUGCUUCAGAGGGGUCAUAUACCGCUAGCCCCCUGUUUUGGGAUUUUCGCCGUGUUCCUAAUUUAUACGACGUCCACCAGAUCCAAUUUGGCACCAAGCUGCAUAACUAGCAUCCUCGAAGACCAGGGUCAGUUGCAUGCUCCUCCCCUCGCACAUUCCUGAGUCCGUUAGAUUGAAAUGCCCUGAAGCUCAGGAUGCACAACUAGUGGUUAACACUGCAAACAAAAUAAAAGAUGAUUUUUAGACUCACCUGUGUUAUUGUAGAUCCCUCUUUUAUUUUCAAAAUAAAAGCUGCUGUCUCCAGUUUGUUGACAUCUACAUAAGAGUCUGCAUCAUCAUCCAUUAAAUCAGGUAUAUCACUCCCCACAUUCGAAUUGUUGUCAACUUCAUCAUCAUCAUCAUCGUCAUCAUCAAUGUUAUUAUCCAUGUAUGGGCCAUCUGGGUUGAAUACCGCUUGGUUUUCUUCAUCCUCAUUGGCAGACUCACCAUCAUGAUCUACUACAACCAUGUCAUCAUCUGGGGGAUUAUCAGGCGGAGGAUUUGCUUUUAAUUCAUCUGAAUGACUUCUAACGCAAUGUCUAUAGAAUGCAUGCCACGUUUGGAAGCUUUGAGGGCACAGGUUUGUGGUGCAAAUAACGUGGAAGUCAGGAUCCCUGUAGUGUGCUGUGUAGAGGUGGCUAAGAUAGGCACUCAACAGUACUGUUGUAAACAGUGGCAUCAUCACACAUAACUGACAAGUGAAUGCCAUUUUGGAAAUACCUGCAAAAGACAAGUGAUUCAGUAAGGCUGUUGGGGCGAUUCAAGCUGAAAUGUGGCUGUCACUAUCCAAUAAUUAAUAAAACCUAGUUUUUUUUGAAGAAAGCUAAUUUUUUCUCUUAA